This 79-nucleotide transfer RNA is filed under the name Nicotiana tabacum (common tobacco). Its description in RNAcentral is "tRNA-Leu (AAG) (tRNA-Leu-AAG-8-1)". It matches the Rfam family "tRNA". From Rfam's summary of the family: Transfer RNA (tRNA) molecules are approximately 80 nucleotides in length. Their secondary structure includes four short double-helical elements and three loops (D, anti-codon, and T loops). The record is from Rfam by way of RNAcentral. Lineage: Eukaryota; Viridiplantae; Streptophyta; Magnoliopsida; Solanales; Solanaceae.
GUUGAGAUGGCCGAGUUGGUCAGGUGCCAGAUUAAGGUUCUGGUCCAAAAGGGCGUGGGUUCAAAUCCCACUCUCAACA